Molecule: ribosomal RNA, 496 nt
Filed under: uncultured bacterium
Lineage: Bacteria
Description: partial 16S ribosomal RNA
Rfam family: Bacterial small subunit ribosomal RNA
Source: RNAcentral
AUGAACGCUGGCGGCGUGCCUAAUACCUGCAAGUCGAGCGCACAGACGAGGAGCUUGCUCCUCUGACGUUAGCGGCGGACGGGUGAGUAACACGUGGAUAACCUACCUAUAAGACUGGGAUAACUUCGGGAAACCGGAGCUAAUACCGGAUAAUAUAUUGAACCGCAUGGUUCAAUAGUGAAAGACGGUUCUGCUGUCACUUAUAGAUGGAUCCGCGCCGCAUUAGCUAGUUGGUAAGGUAACGGCUUACCAAGGCAACGAUGCGUAGCCGACCUGAGAGGGUGAUCGGCCACACUGGAACUGAGACACGGUCCAGACUCCUACGGGAGGCAGCAGUAGGGAAUCUUCCGCAAUGGGCGAAAGCUUGACGGAGCAACGCCGCGUGAGUGAUGAAGGUCUUCGGAUCGUAAAACUCUGUUAUUAGGGAAGAACAAAUGUGUAAGUAACUAUGCACGUCUUGACGGUACCUAAUCAGAAAGCCACGGCUAACUACGUG